CGGUGAACACGGAGCUUGCUCUGUGGGAUCAGUGGCGAACGGGUGAGUAACACGUGAGCAACCUGCCCCUGACUCUGGGAUAAGCGCUGGAAACGGCGUCUAAUACUGGAUAUGUGACGUGACCGCAUGGUCUGCGUUUGGAAAGAUUUUUCGGUUGGGGAUGGGCUCGCGGCCUAUCAGCUUGUUGGUGAGGUAAUGGCUCACCAAGGCGUCGACGGGUAGCCGGCCUGAGAGGGUGACCGGCCACACUGGGACUGAGACACGGCCCAGACUCCUACGGGAGGCAGCAGUGGGGAAUAUUGCACAAUGGGCGCAAGCCUGAUGCAGCAACGCCGCGUGAGGGAUGACGGCCUUCGGGUUGUAAACCUCUUUUAGCAGGGAAGAAGCGAAAGUGACGGUACCUGCAGAAAAAGCGCCGGCUAACUACGUGCCAGCAGCCGCGGUAAUACGUAGGGCGCAAGCGUUAUCCGGAAUUAUUGGGCGUAAAGAGCUCGUAGGCGGUUUGUCGCGUCUGCUGUGAAAUCCCGAGGCUCAACCUCGGGCCUGCAGUGGGUACGGGCAGACUAGAGUGCGGUAGGGGAGAUUGGAAUUCCUGGUGUAGCGGUGGAAUGCGCAGAUAUCAGGAGGAACACCGAUGGCGAAGGCAGAUCUCUGGGCCGUAACUGACGCUGAGGAGCGAAAGGGUGGGGAGCAAACAGGCUUAGAUACCCUGGUAGUCCACCCCGUAAACGUUGGGAACUAGUUGUGGGGUCCAUUCCACGGAUUCCGUGACGCAGCUAACGCAUUAAGUUCCCCGCCUGGGGAGUAC
This 808-nucleotide ribosomal RNA is filed under the name Microbacterium sp. RNAcentral describes it as "bacterial SSU rRNA". It matches the Rfam family "Bacterial small subunit ribosomal RNA", at positions 67 to 883 of the family's 1533-position model. Lineage: Bacteria; Bacillati; Actinomycetota; Actinomycetes; Micrococcales; Microbacteriaceae. The record is from RNAcentral.